UUUACAUUUGCUUCCAACAGACCAGAGUGCUUUCUCCCAACCUGGACAUUUCACCGACAUAUAAACCCCACUUGCCUAGUUUCCAACAGAACUCACAAACUCUGAGGAUGCCUGCCAUAGAUGUGGGCAAAACGUCAGGAGAGAAAGCUUCUGGAACAUGGCCAUACAGCCCGGAAAACUCACAGCAACCCAAUGAUGCACAUCUUUCUCCUCAUUAUAGACUAUGCUGUACCCAACCCCGAGCCACAAGGAGAGGCAGCUUUGACCUUCCGUCGUCUUCUUGACGGACGCCAUCUGCUUACUCUGGACUUACGGACUGACUGACUACGGCCUCGGAUUCUCCUACCUGUGUCUAUCGUUGGAACUGGUGAACUACAAACGUCUGCAUCUGCCUUACGACCUUCGGAACGGAUUGGGACUUCGCUGACUGCUUCUGCCCUCGUCUGCUGUGUUUGUAUCAGGAAAUUGCCUGCUGUGUGGAGGAGUAACCUCUAAGUUACUCAAAUAUAGCUCUUGGCAGCAGAGAAGCAUCUGCUGCCAAUUAGUUGCAUUCCUUUGAACUUUUUGUUCACCAGCUUCUGUUUGUUUAUUCCCAGGCUGAAGCAAGCUGUUUUGAUUUAACCCGGAUUAAACUCCGGUUUAAUCCGGUUUAUCUUUUGAACGUUUUUCUUGUCUCUUUUUACUUUUAAGGCCAGUGUUUGCCUAGCCCUUGUCUUUUACGGGCAUUUUUGGUUCUGUAACUCCAAUAAACUUUGUUAUCUUUUA
Anolis carolinensis (green anole) is the source of this 765-nucleotide long non-coding RNA. RefSeq lists it as uncharacterized. The record is from RefSeq and is a predicted model, not a curated record. The transcript is spliced from 3 exons. NCBI's taxonomy places the organism in Eukaryota, Metazoa, Chordata, Lepidosauria, Squamata, Anolidae.